Molecule: ribosomal RNA, 909 nt
Filed under: Staphylococcus hominis
Lineage: Bacteria; Bacillati; Bacillota; Bacilli; Caryophanales; Staphylococcaceae
Description: bacterial SSU rRNA
Rfam family: Bacterial small subunit ribosomal RNA
Source: RNAcentral
GGAUGAACGCUGGCGGCGUGCCUAAUACAUGCAAGUCGAGCGAACAGACGAGGAGCUUGCUCCUUUGACGUUAGCGGCGGACGGGUGAGUAACACGUAGGUAACCUACCUAUAAGACUGGGAUAACUUCGGGAAACCGGAGCUAAUACCGGAUAAUAUUUCGAACCGCAUGGUUCGAUAGUGAAAGAUGGCUUUGCUAUCACUUAUAGAUGGACCUGCGCCGUAUUAGCUAGUUGGUAAGGUAACGGCUUACCAAGGCAACGAUACGUAGCCGACCUGAGAGGGUGAUCGGCCACACUGGAACUGAGACACGGUCCAGACUCCUACGGGAGGCAGCAGUAGGGAAUCUUCCGCAAUGGGCGAAAGCCUGACGGAGCAACGCCGCGUGAGUGAUGAAGGUCUUCGGAUCGUAAAACUCUGUUAUUAGGGAAGAACAAACGUGUAAGUAACUGUGCACGUCUUGACGGUACCUAAUCAGAAAGCCACGGCUAACUACGUGCCAGCAGCCGCGGUAAUACGUAGGUGGCAAGCGUUAUCCGGAAUUAUUGGGCGUAAAGCGCGCGUAGGCGGUUUUUUAAGUCUGAUGUGAAAGCCCACGGCUCAACCGUGGAGGGUCAUUGGAAACUGGAAAACUUGAGUGCAGAAGAGGAAAGUGGAAUUCCAUGUGUAGCGGUGAAAUGCGCAGAGAUAUGGAGGAACACCAGUGGCGAAGGCGACUUUCUGGUCUGUAACUGACGCUGAUGUGCGAAAGCGUGGGGAUCAAACAGGAUUAGAUACCCUGGUAGUCCACGCCGUAAACGAUGAGUGCUAAGUGUUAGGGGGUUUCCGCCCCUUAGUGCUGCAGCUAACGCAUUAAGCACUCCGCCUGGGGAGUACGACCGCAAGGUUGAAACUCAAAGGAAUUGACGGG